AUUAAACGCUGGCGGCAGGCCUAACACAUGCAAGUCGAGCGGAUGAAGGGAGCUAGCUCCUGGAUUCAGCGGCGGACGGGUGAGUAAUGCCUAGGAAUCUGCCUGGUAGUGGGGGAUAACGUCCGGAAACGGGCGCUAAUACCGCAUACGUCCUGAGGGAGAAAGUGGGGGAUCUUCGGACCUCACGCUAUCAGAUGAGCCUAGGUCGGAUUAGCUAGUUGGUGGGGUAAAGGCCUACCAAGGCGACGAUCCGUAACUGGUCUGAGAGGAUGAUCAGUCACACUGGAACUGAGACACGGUCCAGACUCCUACGGGAGGCAGCAGUGGGGAAUAUUGGACAAUGGGCGAAAGCCUGAUCCAGCCAUGCCGCGUGUGUGAAGAAGGUCUUCGGAUUGUAAAGCACUUUAAGUUGGGAGGAAGGGCAGUAAGUUAAUACCUUGCUGUUUUGACGUUACCAACAGAAUAAGCACCGGCUAACUUCGUG
RNAcentral lists this ribosomal RNA (484 nucleotides) under uncultured bacterium. RNAcentral describes it as "partial 16S ribosomal RNA". It matches the Rfam family "Bacterial small subunit ribosomal RNA", at positions 30 to 507 of the family's 1533-position model. The record is from RNAcentral.